RNAcentral lists this ribosomal RNA (250 nucleotides) under uncultured bacterium. RNAcentral describes it as "partial 16S ribosomal RNA". It matches the Rfam family "Bacterial small subunit ribosomal RNA", at positions 524 to 775 of the family's 1533-position model. The record is from RNAcentral.
UACGUAGGGGGCAAGCGUUGUCCGGAAUCAUUGGGCGUAAAGCGCGUGUAGGCGGCUCGAUAAGUCUGCUGUGAAAGUCCAGGGCUCAACCCUGGAAUGCCGGUGGAAACUGUCGAGCUAGAGUCCGGAAGAGGCGAGUGGAAUUCCUGGUGUAGCGGUGAAAUGCGCAGAUAUCAGGAGGAACACCAAUGGCGAAGGCAGCUCGCUGGGACGGUACUGACGCUGAGACGCGAAAGCGUGGGAGCAACAG